RNAcentral lists this long non-coding RNA (793 nucleotides) under Homo sapiens (human). RNAcentral's name for it is "non-protein coding MIR4435-2HG:3". The record is from RNAcentral. Lineage: Eukaryota; Metazoa; Chordata; Mammalia; Primates; Hominidae.
AGCAUGAGUCAUCUCGUUCCAAUGAGAAUGAAGGCUGAGGUGUGCGCCUUUUUUUUUUUUCCUUCUUAGUCGUGUGUACAUCAUUGGGAAUGGAGGGAAAUAAAUGACUGGAUGGUCGCUGCUUUUUAAGUUUCAAAUUGACAUUCCAGACAAGCGGUGCCUGAGCCCGUGCCUGUCUUCAGAUCUUCACAGCACAGUUCCUGGGAAGGUGGAGCCACCAGCCUCUCCCUGACAAGCAAAGUGGAUCAGCAAAGGCUGCAGUCACCAGCAUCUUUUCCAACCUUAAUGAACUGUAUCCUCAAAAGAACACUAUCAGACUGGUAAGACAAGCAUUAUUGUCCCACUUCACAGAUGAAGAGCUUGGGGGCCCUGUGGAUGUGUAGGAGAGUCGGCCUUCCUUUUUAUAGGCCUUUUGCUGAGCUCAGAGGACAGAGCAGAAGACAAAGCCGAAUGCAGCCCUAAGCAGACACUAUCCCAGCCCAAGGAGCUAUGCAGACAGCUCCUGCCUAGAGGAGAAACAAUUCUCUCCUUCAGCCAGGCAUGUGGCACAGAGGUGAACAGGAAAUGCUUAGGGAGACAGUUCACAGAUAUAUAUGUACUUCACAGGGCACAAUUUAAUCCAUAAAUCAAUCAUGGAUCACCGCUAAAGAAAACAAAAUAUGCUGCCACUAAUUUGCCACCACCCUGUGAGCAUGAUUGGAUGAUGUUUAUUUUGAUUAGGAGAUUGCUCCAUUUAUAAAUCUUCAAUACAUCCUGUCCCCCUAAAACGGCAUCUGGGUCUUUUGAGGGUUAA